RNAcentral lists this ribosomal RNA (494 nucleotides) under uncultured bacterium. RNAcentral's name for it is "partial 16S ribosomal RNA". It matches the Rfam family "Bacterial small subunit ribosomal RNA", at positions 28 to 507 of the family's 1533-position model. The record is from RNAcentral.
GACGAACGCUGGCGGCGUGCUUAACACAUGCAAGUCGAACGGUGAAGCGCCUUCCUUUUUGGUGGGUGUGGAUGAGUGGCGAACGGGUGAGUAACACGUGAGUAACCUGCCCCCUUCUUCUGGAUAACCGCAUGAAAGUGUGGCUAAUACGGGAUAUUCUGGGUCUGUCGCAUGAUGGGUCUGGGAAAGAUAUUGUUUCGGUGGGGGAUGGGCUCGCGGCCUAUCAGCUUGUUGGUGGGGUGAUGGCCUACCAAGGCGGUGACGGGUAGCCGGCCUGAGAGGGUGGACGGUCACACUGGGACUGAGACACGGCCCAGACUCCUACGGGAGGCAGCAGUGGGGAAUAUUGCACAAUGGGCGCAAGCCUGAUGCAGCGACGCCGCGUGAGGGAUGGAGGCCUUCGGGCUGUGAACCUCUUUCGCCAGUGAAGCAGGCCUGCCUCGUUUGUGGGUGGGUUGACGGUAGCCGGAUAAGAAGCGCCGGCUAACUACGUG